Molecule: non-coding RNA, 28 nt
Filed under: Homo sapiens (human)
Lineage: Eukaryota; Metazoa; Chordata; Mammalia; Primates; Hominidae
Source: RNAcentral
UGCCUCACUUACUCUGCGGAAGUAAACA